UUUUUUUUUUUUUUAAUGAAACUCCUUAUAAUCUUACUUAGGACAAAAACCCAUGCAAAUGUAUUGCUCCUAUAGGAGAUACCUGUGUUUAAAACAAGAAAAAAGACAAACCAUUAGGUUUUAAAGCUUUUUAUACUCUGACAAACUAGUUCCUUAGCAAAAAAUAAUCCUAAAAUCUAACUUGAAAAACUAUGGUGGGAAUAAAUAGAGUCACUGGAUUACUUGUAUUUUGUAGUUACUACAUUAAGGACAAUAACAAUGAGUAAAUAAAUCAUCCUAAAUUGUAGAAUAAAAAAUAGGUCCAGGCUACAAAUAAAACAUUGCUAAGAAUAAAUUUUUGAUAACUUGAGGUGAAACUGUCAAACAUUCAAAAUUUAAUUUGAUGCUUCCAUACAUGGGGAAAAAAAACUUAGCUAGUUAUGUCUUCUGAUAUUUUAAUUAACUAUGAAAGAAAUAAAAAAUUUCAUUCUAAGAAACUAUACAUCAAAGGCAUAUCCCUGAGGAAUAGCUCUCUAUGUAACUUACUCUAAUGUAGUCUCUGCAUAGGCAAGCUGACCAAAGAAGUUCAGCAUCUUCCUAAACUAUAUUUUGCCACUGACUGACGUGCCAUGCAACAUCUGUUGCCUUUCAUUCUCUAUUUUUUAAAAAUUAUAUACCAAUAUUGAUUUCUUAGGUUCGACAGAUAUUACCAUAGUAAUGUAAAAUAAUAACAAUAGGGAAAACCCCAGAACUCGCGGUACUGUUUUUACAAUUUUUCUAUAAAUCUAAAGUUAUUUCAAAAUGAAACGUUUACUUUAAAAAAAUGAAGUAAAAAGAACCAUGCCACUGCUUUUGGACUAUAAAAUAAGGAGUACUAAAACAACUUCACAGAUAUAAACACCAUUUCUUUGCAACAGGGGCCACUAUUAUACUCCUCUUAUGAAACUAAAAUUUUCUCUGCAAAACAACAGAUGGAAUUUUAGGAACGGAACACUUCACCGAUUCUGAUUUUCCUGGAUAUAUAUAUAUAUAUAUUAAAACACUCAAGUAAACAUAUCACUAAGCAAAGUAUGUUCACAUUUAAUAAUUUUAUCAUAUGCUAAAUAAAUUAUAUCAUAUGCUCUCUACAAAGUAUAUGCAACUGAAGAAUAUAUGAUGUUUUUUUUCCCAAAAUAUUUACAAGGUUGUUUUACUGCUCUCUAUUGAUUACUAUUACAACAUUCAAUUGUGAUAAUGAACUAAAAUAUGUCACUAUUGAAGGCAUAGAAAAUAAAAUAUAUGAGUACCUUACCCAAACUUAAUUACUUCAGUUUUAAGCCAAAUAGUUAUUUAUUAAGAGAAAGAGCAAAAUUUAAUUUGCCUCACAGUAUAAAAGCUACUGAAUUGUUGCCUACAAGAACCUUAUCAAAGUUGGGAGCAAUAUAAUUUAAUGUUAUUAAAGUGAUGAUUUUUCUCUAAAUAGAAACUUGGUGUUUUUUUUAAAUAGAAACUUUAUGUAUCCAUAGACAAAUUAUGUUAAAGAGCAUUUUCAUAACAUAAUAUUUUUAAAAUAUCACUAAAUCAAUGUGAAUCUCUUUUAAAUACGUUUCCACCUGCCACCAGGUACCCCCUCCCUCACAAGGACCAUUGUUGGUUAAAUUGAAAGGAGAAAGAAACUGCUUAUGAAAAAAAAAAAGCAAAAAUAAGGGAUAGGCAUGUAGGAGAGAAAUGAAGCAUUGAUCACUGUAGAAGAAUGAGCACAAAACUUCCUGAAAUGAUAGGAAACCUGAUGAUAGGGUACCUGCAUAAUUAGGGACAUUAAAUUGGGUGCAAAAUUGCACAGUACAAAUCCUUUACUUUCAGUUGAACUACACAAUCAUCUGAACUCUAGGGGGGAAAAACAUCUACUUUCUUUCUUCUAUUUCAUUGCUUAAAAUGGAGUGACUAAAAACUUAAAGCUGGAAGGAUCAGUUCUCUCAAAGAUGUAAAGAUAACCCUAGGUGAAUUAGUGAGGUGUUUUUUUUUUUCAACAUUCACAUAGAGUACAAAGUGAAAUGAGCAUAAUGUAAAUCAACUCAUUGUUUAGGCCCUUUCAAAUUAGUUGCCAAAAGAAAAGUGAAAACUUGAUAAGCAGGUUCCAAUUUCUAUGUGUUGAUUUAGAAAUCUUAAAGCUUGUGGGAGCUUAAUUCAUUUAAAGAAAGAAAUUUAAAGAGAAGAAAAGUAAACAAGGAAAAUGCUAUGCAAUGAAACACUGAUGUGAAUGGGGUAGAAAGGAUUUCUUUUAAAAAACAAAACAAUAAAGAGUUCCAUUGUGCCUUUAAAUUACAAAUUUAGAUUUCUUAUAGUUUGAGUCUGAUUUCCUUUUGAGCAUCAAAAUGUCAUCAUCCAUUUCAAUAUUCAAACCGUUGAUGUUGUUUCUUAGUAUCUUGGGGGGAAAUUAAAUAAAAACCAAAAUCUUAAAAAAAUUCGUUCACAUUUUCUAACAGGUAGAUGACUAUUUUGAAUAAAGCCGCAAAGGCAUUUUUUUUCUUUUAACUUGCCCCCCAUGAAAAGUCCAUUUCCAAACUUGCAAUUAGAUAGUUCAGAGCUCUGAUUGCAGCAGCUCCCAGUCUUGACCCUUUUUCUCAGGAUUCAAGCAAAAAAUAAGUGAAGAGAAAUGGCAAGACUAAGUUCAGAUAUUCAGAGACAAGUCCUAGGUCGCUCCUCUUUCCAGGAAACUAUGGUCCCAGGUUUCAUCAGUGUGUACUUUGUCUUAAUAGGAAUACUAUUUAAUCAUCAAAGCAAAUAUUUUCUAACCUUCAGAUAGAAGAUCUUUAGUAGACCUAUUUUUUAAGUA
This 2794-nucleotide long non-coding RNA is filed under the name Canis lupus familiaris (dog). RNAcentral's name for it is "lncRNA (ENSCAFG00845007736.1)". Lineage: Eukaryota; Metazoa; Chordata; Mammalia; Carnivora; Canidae. The record is from RNAcentral.